UACGUAGGGCGCAAGCGUUAUCCGGAUUUACUGGGCGUACAGCGCGCGCAGGCGGUUGCGUAUGUGAGCGGUGACAUCCGCGGGCUCAACCCGCGGCGGCCCGCUUACACAGCGCGACUGGAGGCAGGGAGAGGGAUGUGGAAUACCCGGUGGAGCGGUGAAAUGCGUAGAGAUCGGGUGGAACACCAGCGGCGAAGGCGGCAUCCUGGCCCUGUACUGACGCUGAGGCGCGAUAGCGUGGGGAGCAAACGGG
RNAcentral lists this ribosomal RNA (253 nucleotides) under uncultured bacterium. Its description in RNAcentral is "partial 16S ribosomal RNA". It matches the Rfam family "Bacterial small subunit ribosomal RNA", at positions 524 to 776 of the family's 1533-position model. The record is from RNAcentral.